Molecule: ribosomal RNA, 393 nt
Filed under: uncultured bacterium
Lineage: Bacteria
Description: bacterial SSU rRNA
Rfam family: Bacterial small subunit ribosomal RNA
Source: RNAcentral
AUUGAACGCUGGCGGCAUGCCUUACACAUGCAAGUCGAACGGCAGCACGGGAGCAAUCCUGGUGGCGAGUGCGAACGGGUGAGUAAUAUAUCGGAACGUGCCCAGUCGUGGGGAUAACGUAGCGAAAGCUACGCUAAUACCGCAUACGAUCUAUGGAUGAAAGCGGGGGAUCGCAAGACCUCGCGCGAUUGGAGCGGCCGAUAUCAGAUUAGGUAGUUGGUGAGGUAAAGGCUCACCAAGCCGACGAUCUGUAGCUGGUCUGAGAGGACGACCAGCCACACUGGGACUGAGACACGGCCCAGACUCCUACGGGAGGCAGCAGUGGGGGAAUUUUUGGACAAUGGGCGCAAGCCUGAUCCAGCAAUGCCGCGUGCAGGAUGAAGGCCUCGGUGU